CUAUUGGGUGCAAAGAAGAUUCUUGGCCGCUCUGUAACAGCAGCUUCUACGAGUAAAAGAACAACCUCGGCGGCACCAAAAGGGUUUCUUGCUGUGUACGUAGGAGAGAGCCAGAAGAAGAGAUAUGUGGUGCCAAUCUCAUACCUGAGCCAGCCUUCGUUUCAAGCCCUACUAAGUAAAUCUGAAGAAGAGUUUGGGUUUGAUCAUCCAAUGGGCGGCUUAACAAUCCCUUGUUCUGAAGAUAUAUUCAUCACAGUGACGUCUCGGUUCCAAUGAUGAUUAUCCAAACAUAUUGUUAGUCUAGUUAGAUAUAGACUUUCCCUGUAGAUAGAUGAGAUUUUUUUAACCUCUUUAUUGUUUAAAGAGUUAUUCUAUAAUCUUUUGAAAGUGAAUGUUAUAGACACGAUAAUGAUUCAUGUUAAUACAUUUUGGAGCAACCAUUCAACAAGAAAGUGCGACACCUAUCUGAUUCUUGUUUUUUUCUUCUUCUCGUCUUCUUAUUUGAUCAUUACUUUUGGUGUGCCUCUGCAUACUACUGUAAUGACAUGUGUUUUGAUAUUUAUGAAUAUGAAGAAAAACUCACUAGAGAAUCAUUACAGAGAAUGAAGAACAUGUUGCAUGUCCUACAGUCAAUCCAGAUUUAACACAUCUGAAUUACACAACCAUCUGAAACACACAAUCAUGUGAAACUCUGUUCUCUGUACUCAGUAUAACGUAUCUUGGCUCCAACAUAAUGUUAUUGUUAUAAAACAGACCUAACCAGUCUUUGUAAAUAGAUAUACACCUUUUUCUUUUACUUCUUCAGAGAGUUUGUUGCAGCGUGUGUAAAGAGUUAACCGAAUGAUUAUUAUCUUAUUUAUAGCUUUUGUCAUUUGAUCCAAUGAAUCCAAAAUCACUGAGCUGUUCAAACCAUCUGUCUUAAGGGAGGUUAUCCUCUGCAGGUCAGCGACCUCGGGGUAAUUUGAUUGUGUAGUGAGAUCACUGGGAUGGUAAUCUUCAUAUUAAAAGAUAAUUUGUCAUAAGAGAAGAAUCUUAAUGAAGAAAACAUCCUCCCCGUAUAAUGGUUUGUGUCUAUCAGAAACAAAAACAUGUAUGGGUCUCAUAACAUUCACGUGCUACAAAUAUAGAUACAUAGACAAUUGUGAAUGCAAGAAUGAUGACAAAUUUCUCAGAAAACUUUUUGCAAUUUGUGUAAAUGAAACCAUGGUCUUUACAUAGAAAUAUGGCAUAAAACAUUUUGAGUUACGUAACCUCUUGAAACAACUCUCUUUGACAAAGAAAGAGGAAAGGGUUAACAUAUAUACAUUGAAUGAUUCUAUCUCUAACUAAUGUCAGUGUUCUCUUCUUGUGGAACAUCAUCACUGAAGCGGAGAAGUCACGUUGAUAAAGGUGUCUUCAGGACAAGGGAUGGUUAAUCCACCCAUUGGAUGAUCAUAUCCAAACUCUUCCUCAGAUUUACUUAGAAGAGCUUGAAAAGAAGGCUGAUUCAAGAACGAUACUGGCACAAGAUAUCUCUUCUUCUGGACUUGGUCUUCACCAACGUACACUGCAAGAAACCCCUUUGGCGCUGAAACUGUCCUUUUGCUUGAAGCCCCUACAGAGAGGCCAAUGAUUCUCUUUGCACUCAAGAGACCUCUGAACAAAGCCAUUUCUUGUGUCUUUAAAUUGAAAUUUGAAGCUUCUGAGAAACAAAUAGAUGCUCAGAUUCAAGGUUUGUAUUGAAGAGUUGGUUCACUGCCCUAAGAUGUAUAUAUAGAUUGUUAAAAGACUUUGAAACCACCUUAGAACCAUUGAAAGAAUGAGACAUACGCAUACCUCUAUUCACAUGGUUCUGUUUUCUAAGAUAUGAUGAUAGAAGACAAGAAACGAAAGCUAGCGAGCAUUAUCUCUUUUGUUUUCUCAUGUCUGUAUAAUAAAAGAAGAGAAGACAUGAGUUAUUCAAUCUUGUACGUAUAACUUGUCAUGUGUGAUACAUAUCUGUGGAUAUAAUCAAAGAACAACUUAAACUGUGACAGAGACUUGUUGUUCUGCUGUUGAGAAACUUCAUGUCCCCACUUUAAAUUCUCAUUAACUAAAUCUAUUUAGACCACAAAGAUGAGGGAAUAUGAUCACCACAGAACAUGAAGAACAGAAACUUGCUGGUCUUUAUUAUUGACAAAACAAAUGUCUUAUCUAAACAAACAUUGAGAAAACAAGCCCUUGUGUAUUACAUAUGGAGUUUGUUUUAGUUUAUUGUCCUACAUUCAAUUAAUAAUCUUAUCACCACAAACUGCAUUGACCUAUAACUUUUUCAAGUUGGUUCAGACAAUACCAUGUGAAACUCUGCUCUAGUUUGUCCCAUUGUUCAAGACCACAAGUUUGAGAGAGGUUCGAAUUCAUUCAUUGAUCUUUCUAUAUAUACACAUAACAUUACCGAUUCUUUCAAAAUCAUCAACCAGCAAACAAGCAAUAUAUCCAAUAACUUGAAUCUUUUCAUACAUCUUCGAAGCUUCAGACAAAGAAACUAGAAAUGGCUUUCGUGAGAAAUCUAUUGGGUGCCAAGAAGAUUCUUGGAGCCGCAACAAGCAAAAGGGCGACCUCAGCGGCACCAAAGGGGUUUCUUGCGGUGUACGUAGGAGAGAGCCAGAAGAAGAGAUAUGUGGUGCCAAUCUCAUACUUGAGCCAGCCUUCUUUUCAAGCUCUUCUGAGCAAAUCUGAAGAAGAGUUUGGGUUCAAUCAUCCAAUGGGUGGCUUAACGAUCCCUUGUCCGGAAGAUAUCUUCAUCAACGUAACGUCUAGGCUCCAAUGAUGAUGAUCAAACAUAUUGUUCUUCUAGUUAGAGAUAUACUUUGUUCCUUGUAAAUAGAGGAUAGUUUGUUUUUUUCCUCUCUUUCUUCCCGGAAGAGUUCUAAAAUUUGAAAGUGGAAUACAAUUUUUUAUGCUAUAAACACAGCAUAAUUCAUGUUAAAGUAAUUCAUUUUUGAUCAAUCAUUGAAAAAGAAAAAUCUCAUUACAACUUAAAGAUAACCCAAGUUAAAAUCAUGCUCCAGUUCACAUUUCCAAGGGAAUGUGUGGAUCCUCAACUUUCAAUAAUCAGUCCUUAAAACAUGUUUUACCAUCAGUCUUACCGCUCACGUAACUGUGAAAAAAUGAUUUAAUAUAUCAAAUCUCAAAGACCGGAAUGUUUCUUGUUCUCUUGAAAUGGUAAGGUGAUAGACACUUGUAUUUUCGUUACUUCGACGAACUGACUUAAACAGUGAAUAUCUGUUCACAAUCAAUCAGCCAAUUCUUGAAUAAUAUAUGAAAAGAGCAACAUGGUAAACCUGUUAGUGUAGACAAACAUGUUUCAACUCAUUUCAUUGAUUCACACUCGAGCAAUCCAAGUUUUCAAGAUGAAUUAUAUUUUUAAAAACCUUUCUUCAAUUAGCAUAGAACACUUUUACAACAGAAAUUUCAUUUACUUUGAGCUUUGUAACCUCUUGAACAACUCUUUUUCUCAGGAAGAACGAGGGAAAAGGUUGACCUAUUUACAUUGAAUAAUUUAUCUCUAACUCAGGAGUAGACAACGUUAAAUCUCUCUAUCUCCUCGGAUCAUCUUCCCUUUAGCCCAGAAGUCACGUUGAUGAACGUAUCUUCAGGACAAGGAAUGGUUAAGCCACCCAUUGGAUGAUCAAACCCAAACUCUUCUUCAGACUUACUGAGCAGAGCUUGAAACGAAGGCUGGCUCAAAUAUGAGACAGGAACUAUAUAUCUCUUCUUCUGGACCUGGUCCUCGCCAACAUACACCGCAAGAAACCCUUUUGGUGUAGUGGCCAUCACAGAGCGGCUUAAGAUCUUCUUUGCAGCCAAGAGUCCUCUCAUUAAAGCCAUUUCUAGUCUUUGAAAAUUUUAAUUGAAGAUGUGUUGAGGAUAAGAAGUUAAGUUCUGAGAGUCAAGCUUUUGCACUACUUGGUGAUGUGAAGAAUUGGUUCUGUUUCUGGAUGUAUAAAUAGAUCAAUGAAAGAGUUGAAACCACCCUGGAAUUAAUGAAACUGUGGUCUAAUACUACGAGCGUGGGACAUGCAAGAACAGAGUUUCACAUGGUUUUGUUUUCAAGAUAUGACAAUCAAUGAAAGCUAUUCAAAACAUUAUAUGUAUUUCACAAGGGUUUGUUUCCUCAGUGUCUUCAUAAUUUAUAAAACUGAGAUAUUGCAGUCUUCUCUCUCGUCUAUAAUAAACCGUUAGCAGGUUUUGUUUCUUAAUGAUGUAGUGGUAGUGUGGGACCUUCAGUAGCGUACCAAGAGAACAAGAAGGACACAAUAAUUUUCAAAGGACAUGAUCCCAUGGAGUGAAACUUUAAAUUGAUUGAAAGGUAAGCGAGACUAACCUGUAAGGCUGUCACAUUCAUGUGAAUAUCUUUGCCAAAACCUAGACAAACAAUCCCAUCCAGUGAAGAAACCUUAGCUGAUCUCACCUCGCAUAUCCAAAACACACAUCUCACUCUAUAGAUUUAGUUUCUUUCUUGUCACCAUUGUGGUACAUAUAAAGCUCUACCCACUAUAGACUAGUGUAACAUUUCUCUUUGCAUUUUUUAGCCAGUUGUUAAGCUCCUAAUGUGCAAUGAGCAUAUGUCUAAAAGAUGAGAUAGUGACGGUGUGUGUCACAUGAACUGUCUUUAAUUCUAAAGAACGCCGAUCUGUUCAUCGGACGGUCAUGAUCGAAACAAGAGAGAGAAGGCACGUGGAGUAUAUAUACAAAGUCAAAUAAAAAUGCUUCCUUUACGCUCUCUCUCCACUCUCUCUCUCUCUCGCUAACGAACGCCAUGGACGAGACCCAAAUCGCCUCCCUCCUCAAAUCAUCCGACCUCUUCCCAAUCCCUCAAAGCCUCAAACUUUCCUACGGAACAGCCGGCUUCCGCGGCGACGCAACGCUCCUAGCCUCCACCGUCUACAGAGUCGGCAUCCUCUCAUCUCUCCGCUCCCUCAAGCUCGCACCCUCCACCAUCGGGCUCAUGAUCACAGCCUCCCAAAACAAAGUCUCCGACAACGGCGUCAAAGUCUCCGACCCAUCCGGCGGAAUGCUCUCCCAGGAAUGGGAGCCCUUCGCGGAUCAGAUCGCCAACGCUUCUUCUCCUCAAAAGCUCGUAGCUUUGAUCAGAGAGUUCGUCGAAAGAGAAGAGAUUUCAAUCGGAGACGGUAAAGGAGAGGUGUGGUUGGCGAGAGAUACUAGACCUAGCGGUGAAGCCCUCCUCCGAGCUGCUGAGAUCGGAGUCUCCUCUGUUUCGGGAUGCGUCGCGGUUGACUACUCCUCAGCUGCAUUGGAUGGUUAGAGCUAAGAACAAAGGUCUCAACGCAACGGAGAAGGCUUACUUCGAGAGUCUAACGACGUCGUUUAAGUGUUUGAUUGAUUUGAUCCCUUUUAACAAGAGUAGUAGUAGCAAGUUGGUUUUAGACGGUGCUAAUGGUGUGGGAGGGGAGAAGAUGGAAGUUUUAAAAGGGUAUUUACGUAAUUUAGAUAUCGAGAUUCGUAACACGGGGAGAGAUGGUGGUGUGCUUAACGAAAUCGUAGGUGCUGACUUCGUUCAGAAGGAAAAGGUUGUGCCUUUAGGGUUUGGGGUUAACGACGUUGGCCUGAGGUGUGUUAGCUUCGACGGUGAUGCUGAUAGGUUAGUUUACUUUUACGUUUCUUCUGGUGAGAAGAAGAUUGAGUUGCUAGACGGUGAUAAGAUUCUCUCUUUGUUUGCUCUCUUCGUCAAAGAGCAGCUAAACGUUCUUGAUGAUGGGUGUUGUCGUCUUGGUGUUGUGCAGACGGCUUACGCAAACGGUGCGUCGACGGAUUACUUAAAAGGUUUGGGGUUAGAGGUUGUUUUCGCGAAGACUGGUGUGAAGCGUUUACAUAAGAAGGCGGCGGAGUUUGAUGUUGGGAUCUACUUCGAAGCUAAUGGUCAUGGGACUAUACUCUUCUCGGAAGAUUAUGUUUCGUUGUUAGUUGACAAGCGGAAGGGUCUGAGUGAAGGGUCUGAUGAGUACAAUGCGGUUUCUAGGCUAGUGGCGGUGAGUAAGCUGAUUAACCAAGCGGUUGGUGAUGCUAUAAGUGGGUUGUUAUUGGUUGAAGUGGUGCUGCGACAUAUGGGGUGGUCGGUGCAGAAGUGGCAUGAGCUGUAUAAGGAUCUUCCUAGCAGACAGGUUAAGGUUGAAGUUCCGGAUAGAACAGCGGUUGUGACCACGAGGGAAGAGACCGAGGCGCUGAGACCUUUGGGGAUACAGGAUGCUAUUAAUGGUGAGAUUAGGAAGUACAAGCGUGGCAGAGCUUUCAUAAGGCCAUCAGGUACAGAAGAUGUUGUGAGAGUAUAUGCAGAGGCGUCGACACAAGAGGAUGCUGAUUCUUUGGCUGAUUCUGUGGCUCAGCUUGUCAAAAGCUUCCUUGGUUCAAGCUAAAGCUUCAUUUGAGUUCUGUUACUUGAGAGUUACUUUUUGUUUCUCUUGUAGCUCUUCUUUGUUUCCAAUAAAGUUAUGAAACUGGAAUGUAUCUUCUUCUCCUGGAAUAGUACAAGUGAGAGAUUGUUGUUAAGGACUCAGUACCCACGUACUUAUAGUAAGAUCAUAACAAUGGUGUACUUGAAAAAAGUUUAUGCCUUAAUCUCUAGCUUAAGAAGGGAACUUAGCACAUGCCUUUGUCCUCCUGUCUUAUCUCUCAGCAACUUUGUCGCCGACUGUGACUUCACACGAACCAAAACACUGACCCCUCUAGUGGAAGAUUAAUCUUUGUUGAAUUACAACUAUAAUGUGUGAUCAUAUCUGUGUAUAUAAUCAAAGAACAACUUGACCUGUGAGAGAGACUUGUUGUUCAGUUGUUGAGAAACUUCAAGUCCCCACUUUGAGUUAUUAUUAAUUAAAAUACAUUUAGACCACAGAGAUGAGAGAAUGUGAUCACCAUAGAACAUGAAAAACAUAAACUUGCGUGUCUUUAUUAUUGACAAUAGCAUAUGUAUUAUCUAAACAAACAGUGAGAAAACAAGACCUUGUGAAUCGCAUAUGGAGUUUGUUUUUAGUUUAUUGUCCUACACUCAUCAAAUCAAGUUGCAUUAAACUAAACUUUUCCAAAUGCUUAAGACAGAACCAUGUGCAACUCUGUUCUACUAUGUCCCACGUUUCAAAGACCACAAGUUUUAAAGAUUUUUCAAGAGAGGCUGCAACUCAUUCACUGAUAUAUAUACACAUUACCCAUUCUAUAAUUCAUCAACCAACAACAAGCAACACAAAAACUUGAAAUAUUUUCAUACAUCUCUUCAAAAGCUUUUAAAAAUAUUUCAGACAAAAAAACUAUAGAAAUGGCUUUGGUGAGAAGUCUCUUCAGUGCAAAAAAGAUUUUUAGCAGAGCAACCUCGGCAGCGCCAAAAGGGUUUCUUGCGGUGUACGUAGGAGAAAGCCAGAAGAAGAGAUAUGUGGUGCCAAUCUCAUACCUGAGCCAGCCUUCGUUUCAAGCCCUACUAAGUAAAUCUGAAGAAGAGUUUGGGUUCAAUCAUCCAAUGGGCGGUUUAACGAUACCUUGUCCUGAAGAUACUUUCAUCAAUGUGACUUCUCAGCUUCAAUGAUGAUUGUCUACCAUUUU
RNAcentral lists this long non-coding RNA (7569 nucleotides) under Brassica rapa (field mustard). RNAcentral describes it as "long non-coding RNA (BRAP_LNC001740)". The record is from RNAcentral. Lineage: Eukaryota; Viridiplantae; Streptophyta; Magnoliopsida; Brassicales; Brassicaceae.